AUGCUUGGGAAUAUGCCUUAUGGUGGGGGACAACAGUUGGAAACGACUGCUAAUACCGCAUGAUGUCUACGGACCAAAGUGGGGGACCUUCGGGCCUCACGCCAUAAGAUUAGCCCAAGUGGGAUUAGCUAGUUGGUGAGGUAAUGGCUCACCAAGGCGACGAUCCCUAGCUGGUUUGAGAGGAUGAUCAGCCACACUGGGACUGAGACACGGCCCAGACUCCUACGGGAGGCAGCAGUGGGGAAUAUUGCACAAUGGGCGCAAGCCUGAUGCAGCCAUGCCGCGUGUGUGAAGAAGGCCUUCGGGUUGUAAAGCACUUUCAGUAAGGAGGAAAGGUUAAGUGUUAAUAGCACUUAGCUGUGACGUUACUUACAGAAGAAGCACCGGCUAACUCCGUGCCAGCAGCCGCGGUAAUACGGAGGGUGCGAGCGUUAAUCGGAAUUACUGGGCGUAAAGCGUACGCAGGCGGUUUGUUAAGCGAGAUGUGAAAGCCCCGGGCUCAACCUGGGAACUGCAUUUCGAACUGGCAAACUAGAGUGUGAUAGAGGGUGGUAGAAUUUCAGGUGUAGCGGUGAAAUGCGUAGAGAUCUGAAGGAAUACCGAUGGCGAAGGCAGCCACCUGGGUCAACACUGACGCUCAUGUACGAAAGCGUGGGGAGCAAACAGGAUUAGAUACCCUGGUAGUCCACGCCGUAAACGAUGUCUACUAGAAGCUCGGGUCUUCGGACUUGUUUUUUCAAAGCUAACGCAUUAAGUAGACCGCCUGGGGGAGUACGGCCCGCAAGGUUAAAACUCAAAUGAAAUUGACGGGGGGCCCGCACAAGCGGUGGAGCAUGUUGGUUUAAUUCGAUGCAACGCGAAGAACCUUACCUACACUUUGACAUACAGGAGAACUUACCAGAAAAUGGUUUGGGUGCCCUUCGGGAACUCUGAUACAGGGUGCUGCAUGGCUGUUCGUCAGCC
Molecule: ribosomal RNA, 963 nt
Filed under: Pseudoalteromonas lipolytica
Lineage: Bacteria; Pseudomonadati; Pseudomonadota; Gammaproteobacteria; Alteromonadales; Pseudoalteromonadaceae
Description: bacterial SSU rRNA
Rfam family: Bacterial small subunit ribosomal RNA
Source: RNAcentral